This 3202-nucleotide unclassified non-coding RNA is filed under the name Sitophilus oryzae (rice weevil). RNAcentral describes it as "transient receptor potential protein, transcript variant X3". Lineage: Eukaryota; Metazoa; Arthropoda; Insecta; Coleoptera; Curculionidae. The record is from RNAcentral.
UAUAGAUCGUUGAGUGCCGGUGCAACGGUGUAUUUAUUCGGUGAAAAUGAGUUCGGAGUCGCAGGAAAACUUGUUGGAGAAGAUUGAGGAGAGUUACGGUACUGAAUCGAUGCGUAAAGAUCCAGUGGAGAGACCGCUCUCUGAAAUUGAGAAGGCUUUUCUGCUCUACGCGGAAAGAGGUGAUUGUGCAACGGUGAAAAGAAUUAUCGAUCAGUACAAAACUCGUCCUGAAGAGUUUGAUAUAAACUGUGUCGAUCCGCUUACCAGAUCUGCUCUUAUAUCUGCGAUAGAAAAUGAGAAUAUCGAGUUGAUUAAAUUGCUUUUGCAGGAAGGAAUCCAAGUCAAAGAUGCCUUGCUACAUGCGAUUAAAGAAGAAUACGUUGAAGGUGUUGAAGUACUGUUGAAUUGGGAGGAAAAAUGCCAUAAAGAGGAUGAACCUUAUAGCUGGGAACGAGUUGACAAGUCUGGAGCAUCGUUUACAACUGAUAUUACACCACUUAUUUUGGCCGCUCAUAAAAAUAAUUAUGAAAUAAUCAAGCUUCUGUUAGACAGGGGUGCGACAUUGCCGAUGCCUCAUGAUGUCCGAUGUGGUUGUGAUGACUGUGUAUUCUCAACUAAAACAGAUUCACUGAGGCAUUCUCAAUCCAGAAUAAACGCCUAUAGAGCUUUAUCAUCUCCAUCAUUAAUAUCUUUAUCGUCCAGCGAUCCAUUGUUAACUGCUUUCGAGUUAUCAUGGGAUUUGAGAAGAUUGAGCCGAAUGGAGAAUGAAUUUAGAUCAGAUUACGACGAAAUGAGAGCACAAGUACAAAACUUCGCUACAUCCUUGUUGGACUACGUGAGAACAUCUCAAGAACUGGAAAUAAUAUUAAAUUAUAAUCCACAGGGUGAAGUAUGGUCUAUCGGCGAAAGACAAACAUUGGAAAGACUGAAAUUGGCUAUAAAAUAUAAACAGAAAAAGUUUAUAGCUCAUCCGAACGUUCAGCAACUGUUAGCAUCGAUUUGGUACGAAGGAUUGCCAGGAUUCAGGAGAAAAAGCUUAGUGGGACAAUCCAUCCAAGUAGCCAAACUUGGAAUGAUGUUUCCAGCUUAUUGUGGGGCCUACAUGAUGGCUCCAAACUCAACGAUGGGUCAAUUCCUGAAGAAACCAUUUGUAAAAUUUAUUAUACACUCUGCGUCGUACGGAUUCUUUCUAUCUCUUUUAGGAGCAGCAUCUCAGAGGGUGGAAAUAGUAGUUCUAGAGUUUUUUGGCUCUCAAUGGAUGCAGGAUAUUAUAGAUGAAUGGGAGAGAAAGGAAAGGGGAGCUUUAUUUGGUUUGGCUGAAUGCGGAGUCAUUCUGUAUGUAGUAAGUUUAAUAUGGGCAGAAAUUAAAUCCCUAUGGAAUGACGGCCUUAUGGAAUAUAUAUCAGACUUAUGGAACAUAGUUGAUUUUAUUACAAAUAUGAUGUACGUUUUUUGGCUGGUUCUACGCCUAACAUCUUGGUACAUAUGUUGGAGGGAUGAUUCUUUGGGCAAGACAACAUGGUACCCAAGAGAACAAUGGGAUACUUUUGAACCUAUGCUGUUAUCUGAAGGUGCUUUUGCAGCGGGAAUGAUAUUUAGCUUCUUGAAGUUGGUACACAUAUUCAGCGUCAAUCCGCAUUUGGGUCCUCUACAAAUAUCCCUGGGCAGGAUGAUUAUUGACAUUGUAAAGUUCUUCUUUAUUUACACGCUUGUACUAUUUGCCUUCGGUUGCGGUUUGAACCAGCUUCUAUGGUAUUAUGCAGAAUUGGAAAAAAAUAAAUGCUAUCAUUUCCAAAACGGAUUGCCGGACUUCGAAAAUAAUGACAAAGCUUGUACUAUAUGGAGACGAUACGCUAAUUUAUUUGAGACUUCUCAAUCACUGUUUUGGGCAAGUUUCGGAUUGGUUGACCUGAUGUGUUUUGAACUGACUGGAAUCAAAGGCUUUACAAGGUUUUGGGCCUUGUUAAUGUUCGGAUCGUACUCCGUCAUCAAUGUAAUCGUUUUGCUCAAUAUGCUGAUCGCCAUGAUGUCCAAUUCGUACCAAAUAAUUUCCGAAAGAUCUGAUACGGAAUGGAAGUUCGCCAGAAGUCGCUUGUGGAUCAGCUAUUUUGAUGACGGUGAUACUUUACCGGCGCCUUUCAAUAUUAUGCCUCAACCGAAAGUUAUGCUUAGAGCAAUGGGUUGCAAUAAAUCUGACCGAAGUUCUGCCAGCUUUAAGUCAAAGUCUAAAGAAUUUGCUAGAGAAAGAUACGAAUCUGUGAUGAAGUUGCUCGUGCGAAGAUACGUAACUGCGGAGCAGAGAAAGAGGGAUGUCUUUGGUAUUACCGCUGACGAUGUCAUGGAAAUAAGACAGGAUAUAUCUUCUUUACGUUACGAACUCAUAGAUAUUUUGAGAAAAAAUGGAAUGCAGACGCCAACAAUCAGUUUAGAAGAGACACAAAUAUCUGGCAAAAAGGGAAAAGCCAUGGAACGUCGUAUCCUCAAUGACUUCCACAUAGGAAUUAAAGAAGGCCUGGUCAACGAAAUCCAGAUGAACCUGAAAGAACCGAAAAACGUGUUUUCCGAAAUAGCGAGGGCGCUGAAGAAGCGAAGCAGCAUGAAGUCCAGCAAGAAAAAUUGGAACGAACUGGUGAAGAAGAACAAGAGCAAUCCAAUUGGUUCUGCGCAAGAAGCUGAACAGCUGAGGCAAAGGAGACAGAGUUUGAGACAGUACAUCAUGUCUACGGCUAAUAAAGUUGGACCUGUUGAAGAUGAUCAUAAAUUAAUAGAAUACAAUCCAAAAUUAGGAGCUUUGCCUAAAGGUGCCAGGUUAGCCUAUGUCAAAUUUAUGUCGAAGAAAAUAGAAGAAGAAAUUAAAAAUGAAGAGCUUACAUCAGAAGAAGAUAAAUCAAAAGGAUCCACUUCCGUUAUGCCUAAACGGAUUAGUAUCAGCAGCAAGAGCGCCGCGAGUUUGAAAAAAGCUCCCAAGCCGCCAUCUCCAGGCGAAAAUACCGCAUCUGAGGUAAGUAUACUAAGAAUUUUUUGAAGAGGCACCUCAGGGAAUUAAGUAAUCUAGAAGAAAUUUCUCAUUAAUCUGGCAAGAUCCAGCCCGGAAACAAUUUUUUUGAACAAGGGAACCUAAGAGUACACCUGACUCAUCUACUUCUACCACUCAACUACAAACUGAGAAAAAACCAGAAGUAAAACACUCAACUACAACUAC